Long non-coding RNA from Xenopus laevis (African clawed frog), 9898 nucleotides. RefSeq lists it as uncharacterized. The transcript is spliced from 3 exons. The record is from RefSeq and is a predicted model, not a curated record. Lineage: Eukaryota; Metazoa; Chordata; Amphibia; Anura; Pipidae.
GUCCAGUCCUCUUCUUCCGCUUGCCUACAAGGAUUUCGCUGAGGUUUUUGAAAAUAAGAACUCUGACCACAUCGUUCCUCGAUUGUCCAAUUUACCUGAUUCCUGGUUCCAUUCCUCCUAGGGGAAGAACUUGCCCUUUAUCUGUACUCCAUGCAUGAGUAUAUUUCUGAGAAUCUGUUGAAGGGUUUCAUCAGAAAGUCUACGUCGCCAGCCGGAGCUGGUUUAUUUUUUGUUCAAAAGAAAGAUGGUACUCUUAGACCCUGUAUUGACCUUGUAUUGACUAUCAUGCUUUGAACAAAUUAACGAUUAAGAAUCGUUAUCCUUUGCCUCUAAUACCCAAAUUGUUUGAUACAUCAAUGAUGUAAUAUGUGCAGACUUGUGUUAUAGUUUAACUGUACAAUAUUUUGGUGUACUCCUCCUCAAUGUCUGAGCAUAUCUCUCUAGUGAAACAAGUUUUAACUAAGUUGAAGGAGAAUUCUCUUUAUGCCAAGCUUGAAAAAUGUGAGUUUCACAAAUCCACAAUUUCAUUUUUGGGGUACAUCAUUUCUUCUUCCCGUGAAGGUCUCAGCUGUCAUAGACUGGCCAAUUCAUAUUGGCUUGAAGGCCAUUCAACAUUUCUUAGGUUUUGCCAAUUUUUAUCGGAAAUUUAAAAAUAACUUUUCCCAGACUGUGGCUCCUAUUACGGCACUCACAAAAGAAAGCCUUUUAAGAAUUCCUGGACUCCUCAAGCACAGGAGGCUUUUUCAACCCUCAAAAAAUUAUUUAGCUCAGCUCCCAUUCUUCGCCAUCUAGAUCCUGCCAGGCCAUUUAUUCUCGAGGUUGAAGCUUCCGAGGUAGGGGUUAGUGCCAUUCUGUCUCAACAAACAGGGUUUCAAGGGUCUCUUCAUCCUUGUGCCUAUUUUUUCUCAUAGACUGUCCCCUGCUGAGAGAAACAGUGAUGUGGGGAAUCGUGAACUGCUGGUCAUUAAGCUUGCUUUGGAGGAGUGGCGCCAUCUGCUUGAGGGGGCUAAAGAACCGAUUACCAUUCUUACGGACCACAAGAACCUUGAAUAUAUUUCUUCGGCCAGGAGGCUUAAUCCUCAUCAGGCCUUCUGGGCUUUGUUCUUUUCCCAAUUUAACUUUCUAAUUUACUUUUGGCCUGGUUUUAAAAAUACGAAGGCGGAUGCCUUAUACAGAUCUAAGAAGUGCUGGGAGAUCUGCUCCCUCCCUUACCUCCCGGCGCGUCUCUCUGCAGUUUAGGGUGUGCAGGCACAGACUUCCGAGCUUGGCUUCCCUUGAUGCCGGCGUUCGACACCAAUCGUCUUCACGCUGAGCACCAUGAUGUCAUCAUGGAACGCUAGUUUUGAAUCUCUGGUGCCAAAUCUUCUUUAAAAGGCUCCUCCACCAUUUUGAAUAUGCCCAAGCUGGUUCCAGUUCUACUGUUCCUGCCUAAGCGUUUGAUCUAAAUUCCUUUUUGACUCCCACCUGACUUUUGACUCCGAUUAUUGCCGCCCACCUUGAACCUCUUGUCUGAUUCUCGACUAUGUCUCUUCUUCAUCCUUGCUGGUACCUCGUUUAUGGACUUGUUGUGGUCAUGCACUCUUUCUUGUGUUUUCCGCCCCAAAAGGGCAUCGGUAAACACCGGAAUCCGCAGGAUUACCCUGUGCAUUGAGUGUGUACCCACCACCAAGCAAGGUUUCCGAUAACGAGAUUGUUACAGUAUGGCACACACACAGGCAGAGUGUCAUGUCUCCAGCAUAAGCUGUCAUCAUGCUGCUACAUUUCAUUAUUAAUCUUUGACAAACUCCCUUGUUGUAAUUACACAAGGCCAUUUCCUGUAUUUAUUCUGCACCUCCAUAAGGCUUAUGGCAGAAUUGCAUUUGAACUUAUUAGGGUACCGUACUUCCACAAUGUGACCUAGUGCAAUGCCUUGUGGGAGCCAAUACUCCAUUUUACAACUCAUGGUGUGGAAGAAGCACACAGUUUCCAUUCCCUCCUCAUGGUAGCUUCGCUGGUAAGCAAAUAGACUCAAAGUUGCACCAAAUCACCUCCACAGCUGCCAGCACUACCAGGGACAUUUGUGCCAAUAUAUGUGCUGUACAUUGCAGUCUGUACUCAUUUAUGUUUAUAUUGCAUUGUUCAUUGCAAUCCAUUUAUUCUAUUUUCUGUUAUUUCUUACAGUUUCACUUAUUCCCUUUGCCAUCCAGUAAAAUCUACAGACUUCAUUUCUCAGUCUCUUUAUUGGAGUGUGGGGAGGUUUAGCUGCAUGUCGAACUACACACUGCCCCAGGUUAAAACGUAGGGAGGACAGAACAGUGAAACAUUGGCUGCCACAUGGGUGGAUCAAACUGUAGCUUCACAGCAAGAGCAAUAAAUAGGCUCAGCAAAGGCAACUACACAAAUGUAGGGAAACACCUGCCAUUUGCCAGUGCAGUAACCUGCAUACAACUGUACAGCCUGUUUCUGCAAGUCAAUUACCCAGCAAAGCAUAAUGUCCCAAUGUCACAGACAUUAGGGGACAUUAGUCAUUAGUGACCAGAUCCCAAGUUUCGGGCUCCUCUCAAUGUUCAUCUGUUAUUAAUGCUGCUGCCAUCGCCGAUGCAAAAGCUGAAGCAGCAUAGACCCGUGCUGCAUUUGCAGAAAGGAAAAUGGAGACAAAACAGAGAGAGCAUGCUUAGAAGUAGAGAGAGCAUGUCUAGAAGCAUCCCUAGAAAGGCUGGCAAUAGAGAGGGAAGCUGCAGCAACCAUAGCAGAAGCUGAAGCUCUUUAGAGACAGUCAUAUACCCUGACAGUGAAAGACAGAGCAAGGCACCAGAUCUGGAGAUUGAGGCCCAAGACCCACUGCAGCCCGCCUCAGAGUAUGUUCACCAACACUCCAAGCAGGGUACAGACUCAUCUCUAACACAAGAACUAAACCAAGUUUUGACUAGCAGGCUGAACCAAGGAUGCUCUACACUUCUAUAAACCAGCAGCAAGUCACAACUGCAUCAAAGAGACUAUGCUGAUCAAAGUGAUGUUGCUUACAGCACCUACACCAGCCAAGUGCCCAAGCCCAAGACCAGAGACUGGUCUUAACGAGUGCUAUGGCUCAGCAGAGGCAGUAGAAAAUGCACUUUUCAAAAGAAUUGAAGACUUCCCUAAAAUAUCUAAUAAAGGUUACCAAAAACUUAGGGAACUAAGUGACCUGUUAAUGGAACUACAGGUAGCCAAAGCUGAACCGGGACUUGCAACCCUUGACAAAGCAAGGGGUGUUAACCCCAUAGUGCAAAAAUUACCCUACAACUUACAAGAGCGGUGGAUGGCACAUGGGUCAAAAUUCAAAGAGGUGCACAAUGUUACAUUUCCUCCCUUCAGUGUAUUCAUGGACUUUGUAUACCAGCAAGCUAAGAUGAGAAAUGACCCCAGUUUUGAUUUCACUCCAUCAUAUGCCAACCCUAUCAGUACUUAAUACUCGCAAAGCAGCAGUACACAAAAAUAAUGCAUUCUUUAUAGAUUCCUUUCACAGAUCUGCAGAAUCCACUCUCGAGGAGACAAGGAACAAAGAGCCUGGUAAGCAGUGUCCCUUACACCGAAAGUCUCACCCUCUUCUGAAAUGCAGAGCCUUCAGAGAGAAGUCCAUAGAAGACCAAAAAGCCUACCUAGGAAAGCAACAUCUGCUACAAGUGCUGCUCAUUUAGGACUGUAAGGUCAGUGUAAAAGGCACAGAAUAUGACAGCACAUUCACAACAUAGCUUUACACCCUGGGGAAGCCCCAUGGAUUGUAUCUUACACCAAGGGUGUUAGCGAGCAUGGCGGGGAGGAAAGUGACACUGCUACAAACAUACUAGAGGUCACUUCCCAAUGCACAAAAGUCUGCAAAGGAAGCAUGGAUGGCAGAUCCUGCUCCAAAAUUUGCCUGGUCAGAGUGUAUCGACAGGCCAAACAGAUAAAGGCAUUAAGCGCUAUGCAAUCCUGGAUGACCAGAGCAACAGAUCUUUAGCCUGCCCAGCAUUCAAGGGCCCAAGCACUCCUUAUUCUCUAAAAACGUGCAGGAGUUGUCGAGACAGCAGGUAGAAGGGCAUCCGGCUACCGAGUAGAGUCCAUAGAUAGAAAGGUAUGCCUACCCGUGCCAACUAUAAUUGAAUGCAACCAGAUCCCCGAUAAUAGAUAUGAAAUCCCUACACCGGACAUAGCUAUGUACACUUGAAACGCAUAAUCCACUCAAUCACAGAACUUGACCCUAAGGCUCAGAUAAUGCUUUUCCUUGGGAGGGAUAUCCUACAGGUCCACAAAGUGAGAGGCCAGAUAAAUGGCCCUCACAAUGCACCUUAUGCACAAAAGUUAGACCUCGGAAGGGUCAGUAAUAGGAGUUGUUUGCCUGGGAAGUGUACACCAUGUCACAACCAGUUCCUUAUAAAGGAAAAAUCUUACAGCACCAGCUUGGCACACACACCCUUAAACACUUCUGAUGACAACCACACUUGUGCCAGUGACCAAGAUCAUCUAGGGUGCACAGUGUUCCAGAGAACAAGAGAGGAUAACCAUGUAGCAAUGUCUAUUGAGGAUAGACUCUUCUUAGAAAUAAUGGAACAAGGACUAGUUAAGAAUGAUACAAACAGUUGGGUCGCACCUCUGCUCUUCAGGCCCCAGAGGCAACUCCUGCCUAACAACAGAGAGGAAGCCCUUAAACGUUUCUCUUCUCUCAGACAUAACUUCCAAUAGAAAACCUGAAAUGAAAGAACACUUCUCCUUCAUGGGAAAUAUAUUUGAAAAUAGUCAUGCAGAGGUUGCUCCCACCCAUCCUGACACAGAGGAAUGCUGGUACUUAACAAUAUUCUGAGUAUACCACCCAAAGAAACUAGGGCAGAGUAGAGUUGUUCAAGGUGUUGUAACAUACCAUGGUGGUCUAGUGGAAGGAGGUCUGCAGGGAAGCCUGCAGCCUCCUCGGUUCCUCCAAGCCACAAGCACUCCCUUAGGCGCGUGCAGCACGCUUCUUCCUGGUUUUACUGGUGCAUGCGCGCUGGCGUGAUGACGUCAGCGCGCAGUGGCGCGAAAUUUAAAGGUAUUUAAAGCCACAGAAUCUAUUUUCAUAUUGCCCAUUAUAGGAGUUUGUUCCUGGAGCUGUUAGCAUUGUGCUAUUCUGUAUAUCUUAUCUUGCUCCUGUUUUGACACCUGCCUGGUUAUUCGACGAUCCUGACCUCUGUAAUCCGACCCUUGCCUGUUGUCUGACUCCGAUCCUGCUAAAUCCCUUCUGAUUGAUCACCCAGUUUUAACCUUGCCUGUCUGACUACGUUUGCUCUCUGCCUGCCCCGACCCGGCUUGAUUUGACUACGAUCCUGUCCUAAGUCAUGUACUAUGACCUUCUGCCCAAAGACUUUGCAAACCGUUGUGCCCCUUGGUCAGAACCCUUUGCCUUGCAUUUCUUGUUUUAAGACCUGGCGGCAUCUGAGUAGCUGAGGGCUCCUCCCGAAGCCAAAGGACGAGACCAGGGUGCUUGGCAUCGGUUCUGACUUUAAGGUGCCAACUGUUACAUUAUAACGGGCCAUGGACGAAGAAGGUCAAGCUGCCGCUGCUCCUUCCACCACAGAAGCGCUACUUACCACUCUACUGCAGCGCCUGGAAGAACAUGAGCAGAGGCAAGAUUACCUUAUGCAAGGUUUUCACAAUGUGACCCACCAUCUGGAUUCUUCUGUACAGUCUUCAGUUCCUGUGGCCGCUCCUGUGGCUUCUCCUUCCAUGCUGGGUAAUGUACCUAAAACCCAUGAACCUAAAAUUGUCUUCCCCGAGAAGUUUAAUGGGGAUAGAACCCAAUUUUUUGUGUUUAAAGAUGCAUGCAAACUCUACCUCAGCUUCUUCCCUCAAUCUUUCACCACUGGCGAGUAAAAAGUGAGGUUUGUAAUGACCCUGUUACAGGGGUGAUCCCCAAAUUUGGGCCCUAAGGCUACCCUCCCCUGAUCCUGCCCACUAUUCCCUAGAGACUUUCUUUAAAACUAUAGCAAUACUCUACGAUGACUUGGAUCGUGCUUUUUCAACGAUUCCACGAUUCGUACUCUGCCUGCCCCGACCCAGCCUGAUUUGACUAUGAUCCUGUCCUACGUCUUGUACUGUGACCUUCUGCCCAAAGACUUUGCAAACCGUUGUGCCCCUUUGGUUGGUCAGAACCCUUUGCCUUGCAUCUCUUGUUUUAAGACCUGGCGCAUCUGAGUAGCUGAAGGUUCCUCCCGAAGCCAAAGGCGGAUGCCACAGGCAGAAGUACGAGCCCGAGACCAGGGUGCUUGGCAUCGGUCCUGACUUUAGGGUGCCAACCGUUACAGGUGUCUCCCUAAACGAUGUUCUCCUAACAGGCCCUGACCUAAACAACAAACUUUUGGGGGUACUCCUUUGUUUCCGCAAAAACUUUAUUGCUGACACACAACAAAUGUUCCAUGGUUUUCUUGGUUCAGAGAUAAUGAUCCUUCUAAAGACAUCGCAGAGUAUUGCAUGAGGGUGCACAUCUUUGGUAACAGUCCUUCACCUGCAGUCGAAAUCUACAGGCUCAGAAGCUCUGCUCAGGAAUGUGAGGUAGAGUAAGGGUCAGAUGUCGCACAAUUGGUAGAAAGAGACUUCUAUGUGGAUGACUACUUAAAAUCCUUACCCUCAAGUGAAGCUGCAAUCCGUAUUCUCAAAAGGGCACAGGAAGCACUUGCCUGAUCCAACCUCAGGCUUCACAAAUAGCUUCUAACAGAAAAGCAGUGAUGGAAGCCUUCUCUUCCCAAGACCAUUCAAAUGAUCUAAGAGACCUAGACUUAGGGGCUGACCCUUUACCAGUGCAACUGAUCCUUGGGCUUCUGUGGUAUUUCUGAUGCUUCUGUCAAAGCCAUAGCUGCCGUUGCAUACCUUAAGACUGUGGAUAUCUAUGGACAAUGUCACAAUGGGUUUGUUAUGGGCAAGGCAAAACUGGCACCAAUUCCUGAACACACUAUAACCAGACUAGAACUAUGUGCUGUGGUUCUAGCUGUAGAGCUAGCUGAGCUUAUCAUAACUAGGCCAGGAAAGGUAGUCUUGGGUUAUAUCUAUAAUGAAACCAGUCGGUUUUAUGUUUAUGUCAGAGUACUCAGAAUCAGGAGAGCUACAUGUCCAGAACAGUGGCACUAUGUACCCAUGGCCUACAACCCUGCAGACCACGCAACCAGAGCUGUUGCUGCAAGUCAGCUCAAAGACACAACUUGGCUCACAGGACCUGCCUUUUUGCAUAUAACAGAACAAACUGUUUCUGAGACUGAAGCAUUCGAGCUAGUGGAUGCUAAUUCAGAUGCUGAAAUUCGUCCUCAAGUGUCAACGUGACUGCUGAUAACCAACUCAAAUCCAGCAGAUUUAAAAAGUUCUCAACUUGGAAAUCACUUGUUAGAGCUAUCACCUGUCUAGCCGACAUAGCUCACUCUUUUAAACAUAUUUCGUCGAAAGAUGUAAGUACUUGCAAAGGAUGGCAUCACUGUAAGAAUGCCUACAUAGUGGCAGAACUUCAGCAAUCAAAAAAGUCAUCAUCCGCACUGUGCAAUAUGAAGUCUAUCCUAGAGAGAUCAAUUGCAUCACAAAAAAACAAACUUGUCCCUAAAGACAGUCCUUUGAGGAAGCCUUACCCAUUCCUUGACCAAACUGGCCUAUUGAGAGUAGGAGGCGAUCUUGCAAACACCUUCUCGGACAGAUGGAGAAAGCAAUAUAUCUCCACUUUGCAACCACAAAACAAAUGGCAAACUACAAAACCAAACCUCAAAUCUGGUGAUGUUGUUCUCGUGAAAGACUGUCAAUCACAGAGAAAUGAAUGGCCCUUAGGUCUUGUCACCAAAACAUUUCCAAGGGACGAUGGAAGAGUCCGCAAAGUCUAGGCCAAAACCUCCAAACAAGGGAAAACAAAAUUUUUCCAGUUUCUGAACUGACUUUACUUAUCUCCUGAAGAAUAAAGUGGUGGCAUCUAUAGAUACCAGAAGUGUCAUGUCUCCAGCAUAAGCUGUCAUCAUGCUGCUACAUUUCAUUAUUCAUCUUUGACGAACUCCCUCCGCUGGAUGCUUGUUGUAACUACGCAAGGCCACUUCCUGUAUUUAUUCUGCACCUCCAUAAGGCUUAUGGCAGAAUUGCAUUUGAACUAAUUGGGUUGCUGUACUUCCACCACGUGACCUAGUUCAAUGCCUUGUGGGAGCCAAGAUUCAAUUUUACAACUCAUGGUGUGGAAUAAGCACACCGUUUCCACCCCCUCCUAAUUGUAGCAUUGCUGGUAAGCAAAUAGACUCAAAGUUGCACCAAAUCACUUCCACAGCUGCCAGCACUUCCAGGGACAUUUGUGACAACAUAUGUGCUUUACAUUGCAGUUUGUACUCAUAUAUGUUUAUAUUGCAUUGUUCAUUGCAAUCCAUUUAUUCUAUUAUUUAUAUAUAUUUAUAUUAUUGUUACAGUUUCACCUAUUCCCCUUGCCAUCAAGUAAAAUCUACAGACUUCAGUUGUUCAUUUUGAUGGCCUGGACUCUACCCAACCACGAGAGCUGUAACUUUCCCCACUUCUCUAGUAGUUUUUGAAGUGAAUUCAGUAGUGGGAGAUAGUUAUCCUUAUAUGUUUUCCCAAGGUUAGCUUGGAUGCUGACAAAUAGGUAUUUGAUACUUGGGUUGGCCCAUUUGAAUGAAAAGCUUUGUCUUAGUGUUCUGGCUGAGGUUUCUGCAAUAUUGAUGUUUAGAAUUUAAGAUUUUGAAAGGUUUACUGUAAAACUUGAUAAUUUUCCAAAUAUUUUCAUUAGAUCAAGUAUGUUUGGUAAAGAUAUAGUGGGUUUGUUGACACACAUCAGUAAGCCAUCAACAAAGGUUGCACAUUUGUAUUCUGUCCCAGCCACUAAGGGGCCUGAUACAUUGGGGUUGUUUCUAAUAUGAUCUAGAAGGGUCUCCAUAACUAGGACGAAGAGAAUUGGGGAUAAAGGGUACCCCUGUCUGGUCCCGUUUAGUAUCCUAACUCUUGGGGAGAGAGUACCAUUUAUUUUUAUUCUUGCAGUCGGGUUGUUAUAUAGUGCCAUAAUCCUCUGAUUUUUUCUCCUACACCAAAACCUUUUAACGUCCUAUCCAGAUACGACCAGGACACCCUGUCAAAGGCCUUUUCGGCGUCUGUGGUGAGGAAUGGUGGGAAUACCUUUGUCUUGUACAUGUCGGAUCAGGUAGUAUUAUCUUUUCCUUCUCUUCCAGGGAACAAAACCCGCUUGGUCUGGAUGGAUCAGAUAAGAUCACAUAAAGAAAAAGAAGAAAUACAUUGGUACAUAUCCAUUUUGGGGAGUGCACAGCAUUAUCAUACAAUAUAUACCAGAAUAUGGACCGACAGUAUUUGUGAUAAACAUAGAAUAGACAUAAGAAAUUAAAUAAAUAAUAAAAAAUUUAAAAAUUAACACCUAAAAAAAGGAAAAAGAAAAAAACAUCAUGUGGUACAAUGCGCUCCAGUUCGCCCCAGGGAACCGGUAUAGCCUCCCAAUAUUUCCACUUUUGGCUUCAUGAUGUGGCAACUUUACCAGAUGCGAGGUUGCUACCCAUUGCUAUCAAGUUACCCCUAAGCAUGCAUUUUAAUGUCUCCCACAAGGAGGCGGGGGAAAUCUCUGUAGACCUGUUUAGCUGAACUGUUUCUUUAACCCAGCCCUGGAUCUCCCUUCUUCUAUCCUCAGAGUAUAAUAAAAAGUCAUUAAAUGUCAGUUGGACUCCUGUUUUGAUGUUUGUGGGAUUUUAAAUGUUGUUGUUAUUGGGGAGUGGUCUGAAAUGAAGGAUGUUCUGAUUUCAGCCUGGGAAAAUAAAUAAAGCCAAUGCUGUUAUACAAAAAUAAAAUCAAUUUGAAUAAACAUUGUGUUUUGGGAAAAUGUGUGAAGUCUCUUUCUGAGGGGUUUAUUACCUUCCAUAUAUCUACUAGGUGUAAGUCUCUUGAAAGUUGUUUCAGAUCCUUA